ACAUCCACAUUCUGUUAGAGACUGGGGCUCCUGAGUGGCGCAGCGGUCUAAGGCAUGGCAUUUUUUAUAUAUAUAUAUUUUUCACCUUUAUUUAACUUGGUAGGCUAGUUGAGAACAAGUUCUCAUUUACAACUGCAACCUGGCCAAGAUAAAGCAAAGCAGUGCGACACAAACAACAACACAGAGAUACACAUGGAAUAAACACGCGUACAGUCAAUAACACAAUAGAAAAAAUAAAGUCUAUAUACAGUGUGUGCAAAUGGCGUGAGGAGGUAGUGAAGUAAUUACAAUUUAGCAUAUUAACACUGGAGUGAUAGAUGUGCAGAUGAUGAUGUGCAAGUAGAAAUACUGGUGUGCAAAAGAGCAGAAAAGUAAAUAAAAACAAUAUGGGGAUGAGGAGAGAGUUUACAGUCUAGCCAGACACCUAGGUAUUUGUAGUUGUCCACAUAUUCUAAAUCAGAACCGUCCAGAGUAGUGAUGCUAGUCGGGCUGGCGCAUGCGGGCAGAAAACGGUUGAAAAGCAUGCCUUUAGUUUUACUAGCGUUUAACCUGUUGAUCCUACCCCCUACUAUUUCGAACAUUCUGUUAAAAAUCACGCAACAUUUCAGCGCCCUGCUACUCAUGCCAGGAAUAUAGUAUAUGCAUAUGAUUAGUAUGUGUGGAUAGAAAACACUCAGACGUUACUAAAACUGGUUAAAUCACGGCUGUGACUAUAACAGAACGUGCGUUUCAUCGAAAAGCGCAGGAAAAUCUGAUCACUGAAAAUUGGAAAAUAUAUCAAGGCGCCACUUGAAUGUAUUGUUGAAUGGGAUCCACAUAACCUGGAGCCGAGAUUGCAAUUCCUACAGCUUCCACACGAUGUCAACAGUCUUGUCAUUUGCCUAGGAUUUGUUUCUUGGUCAAACGAACAAGAGACAGCCCAUUUCUUCCGGUCUCUGACCGGAUAUUUUGGUUGAGAUUUAUCCGGACAUUAUUUCAAGACGGAGAGCUAUAGAAUAUACAUCGCCUCGUGAUCAAUUUGAUCGAUUAUUAACGUUUACUAAUACCUAAAGUUGCAUUACAAAAGUAUUUCGAAGUGUUUUGUGAAAGUUUAUCGUCGACUUUUUUAAUUAAAAUAAAUGACGUUGCGUUAAAAAACGCUGUUUUUUUCCUUGAUCACAGUCUUCAUAGAUCGAUAUCUAGGCUAUAUAUGGACCGAUUUAAACGAAAAAAAGACCCAAUAGUGAUGUUUAUGGGACAUCUAGGAGUGCCAACAAAGAAGAUCGUCAAAGGUAAUGAAUGUUUUAUAUUUUAUUUCUGCAUUUUGUGUAGCGCCGACUAUGCUAAUUUUUAGGGGUGUUGCAUGCUAUCAGAUAAUAGCUUCUCAUGCUUUCGCCGAAAAGCAUUUUAAAAAUCUGACUUGUUGGCUGGAUUCACAACGAGUGUAGCUUUAAUUCAGUACCCUGCAUGUGUGUUUUAAUGAAUGUUUGAGUUUUAACGAGUGCUAUUAGCAUUUAGCGUAGCGCAUUUGCAUUUCCAGAUGGCUAGAUGGGACGCAUGCGUGUCGGGUCGACUUAAGAGGUUAAGAGCAGUUGGAGGCCACCGAAGGAGUGUUGCAUGGCAUUGAAGCUCAUUUGGAGGUUUGUUAACACAUUGUCCAAAGAAGGGCCGGGCCAGAUGUAUACAGAAUGGUGCCGUCUGUAUAGAGGUGUCAGGGAAUCACCCGCAGCAAGAGCGACAUCGUUGAUAUAUACAGAGAAAAGAGUUGGCCCGAGAAUUAAACCCUGUGGUACCCCCUAGAGACUGCCAGAGGUCCGGACAACAUGCCCUCCGAUUUGACACACUAAACUCUGUCUGAGAAGUAGUUGGUGAACCAGGCGAGGCAGUCAUUUGAGAAACCAAGGCUGUUGAAUCUGCCAAUAAAAAUACCAUGAUUGACAGAGUCGAAAGCCUUGGCCAGGUCGAUGAAGACGGCUGCACAGUAUUGUCUUUUAUCGAUGGCGGUUAUGAUAUCAUUUCGUACCUUGAGCGUGACUGAGGUGCACCCAUGAUCAGCUCGGAAACCAGAUUGCACAGCGGAGACGGUGCGGUGGGAUUCGAAAUGGUCAAUGAUCUGUUUAUUAACUUGGCUUUCGAAGACUUUAGAAAGGCAGGGCAGGAUGGAUAUAGGUCUAUAACAGUUUGGGUCUAGAGUGUCACCACCUUUGAAGAGGGGGAUGACCGCGGCAGCUUUCCAAUCUUUAGGGAUCUCAGACGAUACGAAAGAGAGGUUUAACAGACUGGUAAUAGGGAUUGCAACAAUAGCAGCGGAUAACUUUAGAAAGAGAGGGUCCAGGUUGUCUAGCCCAGCUGCUUUGUACGGGUCCAGGUUUUGCAGCUCUUUCAGAACAUCUGCUAUCUGGAUUUGGGUGAACGAGAAGCUGCGGAGGCUUGGGCAAGUAGCUGCGAGGGGUGCGGAGCUGUUGGCCACGGUUGGGGAAGCCAGGAGGAAAGCAUGGCCAGCCGUAGAGAAAUGCUUGUUGAAAUUCUUGAUUAUCGUGGAUUUAUCAGUGGUGACAGUGUUACCUAUCCUCCUUGUGCAGUGGGCAGCUGGGAGGAGGUGCUCUUAUUCUCCAUGGACCUUACAGUGUCCCAAAAACUUUUGGAGUUAGAGCUACAGGAUGCAAAUUUCUGUUUGAAAAAGCUAGCAUUUGCUUUCCUGACUGACUGCGUGUAUUGGUUCCUGACUUCCAUGACAAGUUUCAUAUCGCGCAGACUAUUUGUUGCUAGUGCAGUACGCCACAGAAUCUUUUUGUGCUGGUCAAGGGCAGUCAGGUCUGGAGUGAACCAAGGGCUAUAUCUGUUCUUAGUUCACAUUUUUUUGAAAGGGGCAUGCUUAUUUAAGAUGGUGAGGAAAGCACUUUUAAAGAACUACCAGACAUCCUCGACUGACGUGAUGAGGUCAAUAUCCUUCCACGAUACCCAGGCCAGGUCGAUUAGAAAGGCCUGCUCGCAGAAGUGUUUUAGGGAGCGUUUGACAGUGAUGAGGGGUGGUCGUUUGACCGCAGACCCGGAGUGGAUGCAGGCAAUGAGGCAGUGAUCGCUGAGAUCCGGAUUGAAAACAGCAGAGGUGUAUUAGGAGGGCAAGUUGGUCAGGAUAAUAUCUAUGAAAGUGCCCAUGUUUAAGGAUUUAGGGUUGUACCUGGUGAGUUCGUUGAUAAUUUGUGUGAGAUUGAGGGCAACUACCUUAGAUUGUUGGACUGCCGGGGUGUUAAGCAUAUCCCAGUUUAGGUCACCUAACAGAAUGGAUCCUGAAGAUAGAUGGGGGGGCAAUCAAUUCACAUAUGGUGUCCAGGGCACAGUUGGGAGGUGAGGGGGGUCUAUAACAGGCGGCAACAGUGAGAGACUUAUUUCUGGAGAGAUUCAUUUUUAAAAUUAGAAGCUCAAACUGUUUGGGCAUAGACCUGGAAAGUAUGACAGAACUUUGCAGUCUAUCUCUGCAGUAGAUUGCAUCUCCUCCCCCUUUGGUCGUUCUAUUUUGUCUGAAAAUGUUGUAGUUGAGGAUGGAAAUCUCAGAAUUUUUAGUGGCCUUCCUCAGCCAGGAUUCAGACAUGGGAAGGACAUCAGGGUUGGUGGAGUGUGCUAAAGCAGUGAGUAAAACAAACUAAGGGAGGAGGCUUCUGAUGUUAACAUGCAUGAAACCAAGGCUUUUUCGGGUUACAAAAGUCAACAAAUGAGAGUGCCGGGGGACACGCGGGGCCUGGGUUAACCUCCACAUUACCCGAGGAACAGAGGAGGUGUAGGAUGAGCGUACGGCUAAAGGAUAUGAAAACUGGUCAUCUAGUGCGUUGGGGACAGAGAAUAAAAGGAGCAGAUUUCUGGGCGUGGUAGAAUAGAUUCAUGGCAUAAUGUACAGACAGGGGUAUGGUGGGGUGUGGGUACAGUGGAGAUAAAGCCAGGCACCGAGUGAUGAUAAGAGAGGUUGCAUCUCUGGAUGGGCUAGUUAUGCUGGGUGAGGUCACCGCAUGUGUGGGAGGUCGGACACGUACAAGACAUAUUGACAUUUGAGAGAAACAAAGCAAUCACAGGUUUGAUUGGGAGAGCUAGCUAAGACAACAACAGCUAAUCAGCUGAGACAACAACAACAGGUAAAAUGGUGAUGAAGGGGAAGAGAGGGUCGGUUAACUACACACAGGGCCUGAGUUCCAGGCUGGGGCCGACAGAUAAACAAAAACAACAACAACAGGUAAAAUGGUGAUGAAGGGGAAGAGAGGGUCGGUUAACUACACACAGGGCCUGAGUUCCAGGCUGGGGCCGACAGAUAAACAAAAACAACAACAACAGGUAAAAUGGUGAUGAAGGGGCAGAGAGGGUCGGUUAACUACACACAGGGCCUGAGUUCCAGGCUGGGGCCGACAGAUAGACAAAAACAACAACAACAGGUAAAAUGGUGAUGAAGGGGCAGAGAGGGUCGGUUAACUACACACAGGGCCUGAGUUCCAGGCUGGGGCCGACAGAUAAACAAAAACAACAACAACAACAGGUAAAAUGGUGAUGAAGGGGCAGAGAGGGUCGGUUAACUACACACAGGGCCUGAGUUCCAGGCUGGGGCCGACAGAUAAACAACAACAACAGGUAAAAUGGUGAUGAUGGGGCAGAGAGGGUCGGUUAACUACACACGGGGCCUGAGUUCCAGGCUGGGGCCGACAGAUAAACAACAACAACAGGUAAAAUGGUGAUGAAGGGGCAGAGAGGGUCGGUUAACUACACACAGGGCCUGAGUUCCAGGCUGGGGCCGACAGAUAAACAACAACAACAGGUAAAAUGGUGAUGAAGGGGCAGAGAGGGUCGGUUAACUACACACAGGGCCUGAGUUCCAGGCUGGGGCCGACAGAUAAACAACAACAACAGGUAAAAUGGUGAUGAAGGGGCAGAGAGGGUCGGUUAACUACACACAGGGCCUGAGUUCCAGGCUGGGGCCGACAGAUAAACAACAACAACAGGUAAAAUGGUGAUGAAGGGGCAGAGAGGGUCGGUUAACUACACACAGGGCCUGAGUUCCAGGCUGGGGCCGACAGAUAAACAACAACAACAGGUAAAAUGGUGAUGAUGGGGCAGAGAGGGUCGGUUAACUACACACAGGGCCUGAGUUCCAGGCUGGGGCCGACAGAUAAACAACAACAACAGGUAAAAUGGUGAUGAUGGGGCAGAGAGGGUCGGUUAACUACACACAGGGCCUGAGUUCCAGGCUGGGGCCGACAGAUAAACAACAACAACAGGUAAAAUGGUGAUGAAGGGGCAGAGAGGGUCGGUUAACUACACACAGGGCCUGAGUUCCAGGCUGGGGCCGACAGAUAAACAACAACAACAGGUAAAAUGGUGAUGAUGGGGCAGAGAGGGUCGGUUAACUACACACAGGGCCUGAGUUCCAGGCUGGGGCCGACAGAUAAACAACAACAACAGGUAAAAUGGUGAUGAAGGGGCAGAGAGGGUCGGUUAACUACACACAGGGCCUGAGUUCCAGGCUGGGGCCGACAGAUAAACAACAACAACAGGUAAAAUGGUGAUGAAGGGGCAGAGAGGGUCGGUUAACUACACACAGGGCCUGAGUUCCAGGCUGGGGCCGACAGAUAAACAACAACAACAGGUAAAAUGGUGAUGAUGGGGCAGAGAGGGUCGGUUAACUACACACAGGGCCUGAGUUCCAGGCUGGGGCCGACAGAUAAACAACAACAACAGGUAAAAUGGUGAUGAAGGGGCAGAGAGGGUCGGUUAACUACACACAGGGCCUGAGUUCCAGGCUGGGGCCGACAGAUAAACAACAACAACAGGUAAAAUGGUGAUGAAGGGGCAGAGAGGGUCGGUUAACUACACACAGGGCCUGAGUUCCAGGCUGGGGCCGACAGAUAAACAACAACAACAGGUAAAAUGGUGAUGAAGGGGCAGAGAGGGUCGGUUAACUACACACAGGGCCUGAGUUCCAGGCUGGGGCCGACAGAUAAACAACAACAACAGGUAAAAUGGUGAUGAAGGGGCAGAGAGGGUCGGUUAACUACACACAGGGCCUGAGUUCCAGGCUGGGGCCGACAGAUAAACAACAACAACAGGUAAAAUGGUGAUGAAGGGGCAGAGAGGGUCGGUUAACUACACACAGGGCCUGAGUUCCAGGCUGGGGCCGACAGAUAGACAAAAACAACAACAACAAAAAGCAGUGCUAGAGGCAUCACUACAUAUCAUGGUUUGAUUCCAGGCUGUAUCACAACCGUCCCAUAGGGCGGGCACAAAUGGCCCAGCCAUUAGGCAUUAGGGUUUGGCCGGGGAAGGCCGUCAUUGUAAAUAAGAAGUUGUUCUUAACUGACUUGCCUAGUUAAAUAAAGGUUAAAUAAAAUAAGGAAAUAAAAACAGACACAUACAUGACUCCCAAUACCUACUAUACAGGAGAUCACAUAUAUUGAAAAUAUAGUUCAAUUUCCUUCUCAUCCGUAGCCAUAUUCAGUUGCAAAAACUAAUUAUCUGGACUGUUUCCCUCUUAAGUUGGUUUCUGACUAAAAUUAGAGGUGUUUAACCUCUCCCCUUUCAAAUCAUAACCAUUUAAGAUCAGAGAAUUUAAAUGAGGCUAGUUCCAAAACAUUAACGGCAAAUAGCCGAGAGCCCGAGACAGUUACUAAGUCUUAAAUAACAGUGUUAUCUAAGAUUUGCAACUACCGCAUCAAACGUACUUGUUGACCCAAUUGAAGCGGAAGGAGCAAUCUGUAGAGGAUCAAAGCUAAACCAUUCUGGGAGAUGAGCUAAGAGAUAAUCCCAGUAAUCAUCUUCACAUCCUGCCUGCAGUAUUGAUAAAAUGUGUUUUUUUUAAAGAGCUUUUUUGUUUUUGCUGAAGAGCAAUCCUAUGGGGCUGCAGCAUCCCUGUCUGUUCAGACAACCAUUACUUAAACUAACAUAGUCUUUGCUGGUGUUCUGCCACCCACCCACACAGACAGACUAACUCCAGUGGGAUCGGCUGACACAAACAUCCACAACAUCCUCUAUCAGUUUCUCCCUAAUCUAACGCUUCACCCGAUCCAUACCUCUCUGGUUUCACUGGCAAAAUUCUAGAAGCAUCUGUUAGGGAGGAACAAUGAAGGUGAAUGCAUGCAGGGUCAAAUUCACCAACACUCAAUGCCAUGUCACUAAUUACUUCACAUUCAGUGAAGAUCACAUGGCUCUAGAGUAUCACACACACACGCUGCUUGAUGUAGUAAGUCUCACAUAGUAAGUAUCAAGAUAAUGUUGGAAAAUGUUUAGCUGUCAUUUGUUAAGUUACGGCACGACAACGCUAGCUAGUGAUAGCUAAA
Oncorhynchus keta (chum salmon) is the source of this 7292-nucleotide long non-coding RNA. RefSeq lists it as uncharacterized. NCBI's taxonomy places the organism in Eukaryota, Metazoa, Chordata, Actinopteri, Salmoniformes, Salmonidae. The record is from RefSeq and is a predicted model, not a curated record. The transcript is spliced from 8 exons.